RNAcentral lists this unclassified non-coding RNA (2191 nucleotides) under Dendronephthya gigantea. Its description in RNAcentral is "uBX domain-containing protein 6-like, transcript variant X1". The record is from RNAcentral. Lineage: Eukaryota; Metazoa; Cnidaria; Anthozoa; Malacalcyonacea; Nephtheidae.
GGAAGAACCUACAAAUAUAUACAUAACAAAAUAAUCUGUGUAAGGGUUUCGUUUUCGAGGUUUUAGACGGAUUUAAGUGCUUUAGUAAGGAAUAUUGACCAGUUCAUUGUUGGAUCAAAGUGCUACAGGGUACGGUAAUGCUAUUUGAACAAUGAACUUAUAUCGGAAAGCCAAGUUAGCCGUGAAAUUUCGCAAAGCUGGUGAAGGUCAUGUGCUAAGUGAAAGUUCAUCAUCACAGACCCAAAGUCAGCCCAAUGUUCCACAGCAACCACGAAGAGCACCAACCUCAGAUGCACAGCGUGCCGGACAGGCAGCUAUUGCAAGAUUUCAGCAGCAAGAGAAACAGCCUAAACGACCACAUUCUGCCACUGCAACAUGGAAAUCACGUUCAAAUGAACCUGCAAGCAAACUGGAUGAUGGCCCAGGAGUGAAUGCAUCAAAAUUAAGAAGUGAAGUGGAAGCAGAAUUUAUUAGAGAGUCGGGAGCUUGUGGGUCAGGUGAACAACAGAAUUUUGAAAAGGAGGUUGUACACCAAGACUCAGCUCCAAUUCUUGCAGUCGCCGGUGUGUUCUUCAUUUGUCCAUUCUGCUCCGUCAGUUAUGUGCGACAAGAUAUUCGUGCUCACAUGGAUGACUGUCUCAAAGAGAGCUAUAAAAGUGACCAGAUAUUAAGUCCAGUUAAUAUGAUCAGGUCUUUGAACAAAGAUCAAAGUAAAGUAGAUGGUUGUGUUGAUGUUCUGUGCAGAUAUUUGGACAACAUUUUGAAGAAUCCAGACGAAAGUAAAUACCGUAGAAUAAAGCAGGGAAAUAAAGUCUUUCAGGAAAGAGUAAAACCUGUAAAAGGAAGCAUCGAAUUUUUGCUUGCCUGUGGUUUUUCUGAGCAACCAUUACCAGAUAACCCAGGCGAGAUGUGCUUUAUUAUCGAAGAAGGAGCUACCGAUGUGACAGAGAAACUAAAUAUCAUGAAGGAAAUCCUUGUUGCAACAGAGACUUGCAAGCCGAAGCUGGACAGAUCUCUCAGGGUACUCAAGCCGUCAUCAAGUAAUAGUGAAACUGUUCAACUUCCUGAGGGGUUUUUUGACCUAAGUUCAGAUGAAGUGAAGAAGAUGCAAACGGAACGAUUAGUGGAAGUUGAUCGUAAUUCUCAGUUAAGAACUCGUGCGAUGAGAGAAAGAGAAGAGAAAAAUCCAGCAAGGAUAUAUCGAUUCACGCUAUUACGUGUGAAGUUUCCUGAUGGGCACAUCUUACAAGGCACAUUCAAUGCUCGUGAGAAAUGUCAAUCCCUCGAGAACUUUGUGAGAGAACAGCUCCAAAAUGAUUGGCUGCCUUUUGUAUUGUCUGAGCCUGGCGGUGGAAUACUCACUCACGAGGAGUCGAGUUUCGAGGAACUUGGACUGGUUCCAGCCGCUAUUCUACAUUUCAACUGGGAUACAGCAGUGCUCGCAGACCUUGAAGCAAGUGGGAAGUCUAUGGAAACGAACUAUUUAAAGGUGACUUGUCCAUUGGGUUGAAGAACUUAUUGCCUCAACUGCUGACAAUUUACCUGAAAUAAAAAUAAACUUCCCUGCAUAAAAAGUACAAUAUAAAGCAUCCAGAUGACGUUUUUAACAACUAGUAUGUAUUAUUAUCAAUUUAGGGCCAGUAGUUCUCAAUCGUAGUGCAUUGCAUCAAUUGUGGUAACAUUUUGUAUUUUAAAUAACUGUUAUACCACACUCCAUGAUAGACAAAUUGAAAUUCCUGGGCUGCCAUACAUUGGCUCUCAUGAGAUGCUUGGCUUCCCAAAAUAUUACAUAAUAUGGGAGUGCAACAACACCCAAUGAUCAGGUUAUGUAUCUAUAUAUAACUGUUAGGUGACCUAGGUCCCUCAGCAGCUGUCAUCUUUUCAACCUGACAUAAACUUAAAGGUUUUCUUGCAACUCAAGCUUGCCAUGUGAUGUAAAUGCUCCUACUUACAAAUCUUUCCUUCCUUUUCAAGUUUCUUCAGAUGCUCUAACACGCGCGACCUGCAGAGAAGCUGCAGAGAAGAAUUUCUCUGCAGCUUUUCGUAGGUGAAUUCGGCUCUCCUGGUAGAAUGAUUUGGAGUCUUUAUAUUGCAUAUAUUCACUCUUAUUCACAAAAGAAACUUAUGACAACAUACUGUGUAGAUUUUCUUGACAAGAUCCAUAGCGGGUCCUACUAAACACUGCCCGAGA